UACGUAGGGUGCGAGCGUUAAUCGGAAUUACUGGGCGUAAAGCGUGCGCAGGCGGUUUUGCAAGCCGGGUGUGAAAUCCCCGGGCUUAACCUGGGAAUGGCAUUUGGGACUGCAAGGCUGGAGUGCGGCAGAGGAGACUGGAAUUCCUGGUGUAGCAGUGAAAUGCGUAGAUAUCAGGAGGAACACCGGUGGCGAAGGCGACUCUCUGGUCUGUAACUGACGCUGAGGCGCGAAAGCGUGGGGAGCGAACAGG
This 253-nucleotide ribosomal RNA is filed under the name uncultured bacterium. Its description in RNAcentral is "partial 16S ribosomal RNA". It matches the Rfam family "Bacterial small subunit ribosomal RNA", at positions 524 to 776 of the family's 1533-position model. The record is from RNAcentral.